RNAcentral lists this long non-coding RNA (927 nucleotides) under Triticum aestivum (bread wheat). RNAcentral describes it as "long non-coding RNA (TAES_LNC011069)". The record is from RNAcentral. Lineage: Eukaryota; Viridiplantae; Streptophyta; Magnoliopsida; Poales; Poaceae.
UUUUUUUUAAAGUUUGCAAAUAGUAUAAAAUGGUAAUGAAUUCAAAAAAUGUCCAUGAUUUUAGAAAAUGUUCAAACAUCUCGAAAAAUGUUUAUGAAUUUGAAAAAUGUUCAUGAUUUCAGAUAUGUUGACAAGUUUAAAAAUGCUCAUGAAUUUUAAAAAUUGUUCACGAUUUCUUGAAAAUGAAAAUGAUAAUGAUAUUGUAUCUCGGGCCGUCGGAGAUUACGACUUUUUUUUUCUCCCGUUGAACGCACGGGCCGUUUUGCGAGUUCAUCAUAAAUACUAUAACUGGAUAUAGAAAUCACAUAAAGAUAUUACUCCCUCCAUUCGGAAUUAGGAUGUCGCGAGGGAAGGAAAAUUAGUGAACAAUUCAAGGGCAAAACCCAAGCCAACAAAAAAAAAGUGUGAUGACAAAUGCUUUCCUCACCUGAACAAAAAGAAAACAAAUGAUGUACAUACUGCUGCAGAGCAAAGUCUUUCUUUUUAUUGUUUAUCAUCAUCAUCAGAGCAAAGUCUUUGUUUGUUUUCUCUGCUUCCCCAAAAGGAAUACAUGCAUACUCCAACGGCAGCAGAAUGAAAUUAAUCAAUUGGUGCCAACAGGUCAAUCUGUGCACUGACUAGAAGAAAACCACUACCACUCACUAAUUAAAUACACACCAACAGACCAAUCAUGCUUCAUCUCUAUCUCAAGAAGAGGACCAAGACACAAACAUGGAAAACAUCCCAUCCAUCAGAAAAACAAAAACCUGCAGAUUAACUUUUUACAGACCAACAAUCAAUGAAUGAUUUUUUGUACGGCGCGAAACGGAACCGACCGACUGGCGAAAACGAAACGGCGCAUCAUUGGUAGGAACCGGCCUUUGGCGAAAACGAACCGGCACACCAUUGGUGGGAGCCGGCCUCCGCCAGCCGUCGACGGGGCGGCAG